This 497-nucleotide ribosomal RNA is filed under the name uncultured bacterium. Its description in RNAcentral is "partial 16S ribosomal RNA". It matches the Rfam family "Bacterial small subunit ribosomal RNA", at positions 28 to 507 of the family's 1533-position model. The record is from RNAcentral.
GAUGAACGCUGGCGGCGUGCCUAAUACAUGCAAGUCGAGCGAACAGACGAGGAGCUUGCUCCUCUGACGUUAGCGGCGGACGGGUGAGUAACACGUGGAUAACCUACCUAUAAGACUGGGAUAACUUCGGGAAACCGGAGCUAAUACCGGAUAAUAUAUUGAACCGCAUGGUUCAAUGGUGAAAGACGGUUUUGCUGUCACUUAUAGAUGGAUCCGCGCCGCAUUAGCUAGUUGGUAAGGUAACGGCUUACCAAGGCAACGAUGCGUAGCCGACCUGAGAGGGUGAUCGGCCACACUGGAACUGAGACACGGUCCAGACUCCUACGGGAGGCAGCAGUAGGGAAUCUUCCGCAAUGGGCGAAAGCCUGACGGAGCAACGCCGCGUGAAUGAUGAAGGUCUUCGGAUCGUAAAACUCUGUUAUUAGGGAAGAACAAAUGUGUAAGUAACUAUGCACAUCUUGACGGUACCUAAUCAGAAAGCCACGGCUAACUACGUG